CAAGUCGAGCGCCGUAGCAAUACGGAGCGGCGAACGGGUGAGUAACACGUAAAGAAUCUGCCCUGAAGCGGGGAAUAGCUAUCCCAACGGAUAGCUAAUACCGCAUAAUGAUGGAGGAGGCAUCUCCUUUUCUCAAAAGGCUUCGGCCACUUCAGGAUGACUUUGCGUCCCAUUAGCUUGUUGGCGGUGUAACGGACCACCAAGGCGACGAUGGGUAUCCGGCCUGAGAGGGUGUACGGACACAUUGGGACUGAGAUACGGCCCAGACUCCUACGGGAGGCAGCAGUAGGGAAUUUUGCGCAAUGGAGGAAACUCUGACGCAGCAACGCCAUGUGUGGGAUGAAGCAUUUCGGUGUGUAAACCACUGUCAGCAGGGAAUAAAAGGCUCUUUAUGGGCAUUUGAAUGUACCUGCGAAGGAAGCCCCGGCUAACUUCGUGCCAGCAGCCGCGGUAAUACGAGGGGGGCAAAUGUUGUUCGGAAUCACUGGGCGUAAAGGGAGCGUAGGCGGGUUUUUAAGUUAGGUGUUUAAUACCGGGGCCCAACCCCGGACCGGCACUUAAAACUGGGAAUCUUGAAUAGUGGAGAGGUCAGUGGAAUUGGGGGUGUAGCGGUGGAAUGCGUAGAGAUCCCCAAGAACACCAGUUGCGAAGGCGGCUGACUGGACACAUAUUGACGCUGAGGCUCGAAAGCAUGGGGAGCAAACAGGAUUAGAUACCCUGGUAGUCCAUGCCAUAAACGACGAAUACUAGGUUUUGGGCCCGUCAACGGUCCAGAGCCGCAGCUAACGCGUUAAGUAUUCCGCCUGGGGAGUACGGUCGCAAGACUGAAACUCAAAGGAAUUGACGGGGGCCCGCACAAGCGGUGGAGCAUGUGGUUUAAUUCGACGC
RNAcentral lists this ribosomal RNA (888 nucleotides) under uncultured Fibrobacterota bacterium. RNAcentral's name for it is "bacterial SSU rRNA". It matches the Rfam family "Bacterial small subunit ribosomal RNA", at positions 58 to 957 of the family's 1533-position model. The record is from RNAcentral. Lineage: Bacteria; Pseudomonadati; Fibrobacterota.